RNAcentral lists this ribosomal RNA (523 nucleotides) under uncultured bacterium. Its description in RNAcentral is "bacterial SSU rRNA". It matches the Rfam family "Bacterial small subunit ribosomal RNA", at positions 355 to 896 of the family's 1533-position model. The record is from RNAcentral.
UGGGGAAUAUUGGACAAUGGGGGAAACCUUGAUCCAGCAAUGCCGCGUGGGUGAUGAAGGCCUUCGGGUUGUAAAGCCCUUUUGGCGGGGACGAUGAUGACGGUACCCGCGGAAUAAGCCCCGGCUAGCUCUGUGCCAGCAGCCGCGGUAAUACAGAGGGUGCUAGCGUUAAUCGGAUUUACUGGGCGUAAAGCGUGCGUAGGUGGUUUGAUAAGUCGAUUGUGAAAGCCCCGGGCUUAACCUGGGAAUUGCGGUCGAUACUGUCAGACUCGAAAACGGUAGAGGGAGGUGGAACUCCAGGUGUAGCGGUGAAAUGCGUAGAUAUCUGGAAGAACACCGAUGGCGAAGGCAGCCUCCUGGGCCUGUUUUGACACUGAGGCACGAAAGCGUGGGUAGCAAACAGGAUUAGAUACCCUGGUAGUCCACGCCGUAAACGAUGAAUGCCAGCCGUUGGAGGGUUUACUCUCCAGUGGCGCAGCUAACGCUUUAAGCAUUCCGCCUGGGGAGUACGGUCGCAAGAUUA